Molecule: long non-coding RNA, 1244 nt
Organism: Papaver somniferum (opium poppy)
Lineage: Eukaryota; Viridiplantae; Streptophyta; Magnoliopsida; Ranunculales; Papaveraceae
Exons: 5
Source: RefSeq, a predicted model, not a curated record
UCUCUCGUAUUUUCAUUUCUGAUUUCAUUUUCUCUCUCCAGUUCUUACGAAAAACUUUAUGGGGUUUCAAAAAUUGAUUUUGAGCAGCGACAAUCGGUUGAUUUUGAGCAGAGACAAUCGAUUGUGUUUUUCAGUUUGAUUAAAUCGAUUAAUUUCGAUAUUUGUUCUAGUUUUCAGCGCACGAUUUCACUAUUGUUAUUGUAACAAUUGUUCUUGGGUUUUUGUUCUAUGAAAUUUGAAAGAUCCAAAGGUUUGAAAAGUGUGUUAUGGAUGGCGAACAUAGAGAUCAUAAAUCCACCACCAGGACAAGGAGAAGCAUUCGUUGCGUUGCAGUAGAAAAAAAUGAGGGAAAAUGAAUCCGAGAAACGUAAUCUGCAGAUUCAACAAGCUAAGUAUAUAAAUAAUUAUCCUCUUCUAUUAAUCAUGAUGCUCCGAUCUUAGAUUUACAAUCAACUACUCUUUCUAGUUGUAUCAAUGUAAUUGUUUCGAAGAAUCUUGAGCAAAAUUUUCAGAUUUGUUCUUCGUCAAAAUCGUCCUAACUAUCAAUUUCAAGAUGCGAUCAACAACGAUAUGAGGAACAAUUUGAUGGUUUCUCUGAAUCCGAUAAGGAUGUUUUGAGUUCAUGGUGUUGGAUUGUGCUCAAGGAAUGGUAGGAGAAUUAUGGUCUGUUUAUCGAGAAGCACAGUUGGAGUCGACCACUAAAUUCAGGAAGCUUUUAUCUCUUGCGCGUGACCCACCAAUUGAUAAGGUAAUUAAAGCCGGUGUUGUCCCACGAUUCGUAGGAUUUCUUGCAAGGAACGAUCUUCCUCAACUCCAUUUUGAGGCAGCGUGGGUUUUGACGAAUAUCGCGGCAGGCACAUCAGAGCAUACACAAGUUGUGAUUCAACAUAGUGUUGUUCCAAAGCUUUUGCAACUUCUUAGCUCUGGAAAUGCUGAUGUUCGUGAACAGGUCUACAUCAAUGUCCUAUCUUUGUCCUAUAAACUUACUUCUUAGCCAGUGGAUGUAACUUUUGCAUAUGACAUGGAUGUGUAAAUGUUGAUUACACGUGCAUAUGACAUGUGUAACUGCUGCAUACAUAUGCCAUAUGCAUGUGUAACUGUUGCAUACACAUCUAUUUUCACUUCUCUCUGGUGGUGGUGGUGCUGCUGUUAACUCUUUCUUGUAUUGAAGACCAAAUUACGGCUCCUAUCGAAGAUAUGCAAACAUUUUGGAGGGAGGAAGACAAGAAGGAAACACAAAGAUU